UAAAUACACAUUUCACUCCCUCCCUUUAUUUUUUUUUCUUUCCCCCCAUUUAUUUUCCUAUUUUGAUUUUUAGUUUUCCUCUCUCCACAAAAUCUUUCCAAAAAUUCACUGCUUCACCCCAAACCCAAAAAUCCACUGCUUCACCCCAAUUCCAAAAAUUCGACUGCUUCGAAUAGUAGCAAAAAAUGGUAGAAUCACUUCUUUCAGGUAACAAAUUUCUGCUACUCAAGGUUUUUAAGUCAAUUUUUUUGUUCAAUCUUCAAUGGGUUCCUUUUAGGGUUUCUGUUUGUGCAAAAUCUUGGAAGUAUUUAGGGAAAGGAACAAUUUUGGAACAAAAAAUUCCCUGUGCAUGAAGAAAUUUGAUGUUUUAUUAUCUUAUUGUUCAUAAUAGUCAUGAAUGAAGAAAUUUUGUGUUAGAUGGGUUAUCUUAAAUUUUGUGUUAAAUAGGUCAGUGACUUCUCCUUUUCUUUUCGGUCCUGAAAAUUUGAAAUGUAUUUAGUUCAGUUCUUAUAGCUUUGAAGAUUAAAAAUUUGAACUUGUAUGAGCUUUAGGCUAAAGUUCCUUUUUUUUUUUUUCCAAUCCUUAAGUUGGGGAAAGCUUUAUCCUAGAAUGCAUCUAAAUGUAAGUGAAAAUCCCUAAUCCUUCUUGCAAAUGUUUUUAGCAUCAAAGCAACUAGAUAGCUAUUGAUUUCUUAGCCCAUCAAGGUACCAUAUGAUUUCUAUUUUGCACUUCUUUAUUUGUCUCUUAUUUUGGCUUAAAAUUAUAGGUGAGGAUUAUUGGCAAGAGAGGAUUUGUACUCUGUUGCCUUGUCUUAUCCAUUGAUUCAGUUUUGCUUUGACAUUUUCUUGAUUUACUUUUUACCCUUGCCCGGGAAGUUGUUGUUGAAGGCGAAGAUAAAGUUUUCAAAGAUGCUAUUGAACCACUAGAAAGUGCUAGCGUAAAUUUGGUACCAAGCAGUAAAGAGGACAUACGAGAUUUUGGUUCGCCACAACAGGUUGCUAAAAUUUUAAUAAAAAAGUUUUUAGUAUCACCUUCUCGGGAAAACAAAACUGAUUGAAGCGUCAGAGCAAUUCCUACUUGAGAACUAUCAUACUUUGGGAGAAUAUGAAGCGAAAACGCAAGAAUUCAGCACAAGCAAUGUUAGAAAGCCUACGAGGACAGCAAGCUGACAACAAUAGCACAACUUCCCAAGAUUUGCAGCAACAAAUUAGUGGGGAUCAACUAAAUGACCAACUUGAGAAUGUGAACAUAACAACUUCUACAUUCGGUAAUGACAACUUAAAUUCUUCUUCAAGCUCUAAUGAAGCUAACUCACAACAGAAAGAGGACCCCUUACUUGUCGAGAUUAGAGAUACUUUGACUGGAGAAGUGACAACCCAAAAGAUGCAAGCAGAUCGAGUUUAGAACUUGGGAAAAAAUAAAAAAAAUUGUGGUGGAACUCAACGGGGAUGGACAAGGAAGUGAUAAUGGUUAAAACUUGCUUGUGAGAUUUCUUGGCAAACUUUCUCAAAAGUCUAUAAUCUGUCCCAUAUCAGUUGAGAGAUGGGAUAGGAUGCCCGAGGCAAAAAAUCGCCUACAAUGGCAGUUAGUUGAGGAGAAUUUCGAGUUUGAUUAUGCUGUUGGAAUUAAAUUGGUGAUGCGUACUUUAUGCGAUAGAUGGAGGACAUAUAAAUAUACGUUAAGAAAUAAUCACUUCUACCCAAACAAAAGUAAGGAAGAUAUACUUGCUAAUCCUCCCGAAAAUGUGGAUUCUAUUGAGUGGGCUGCUUUUGUGCAUCACUAUAAAGAGGAAAAUAUGAAGAAACAAAGUGAACAAAAUGCAAAAAAUCAAAGUAAACUUAAGUCCUGCAUGCCGGUGGUAGUAAAAGCAAUGCAAGGAGAGGUCGUCAAAUGGAGAAAAAAUAUGGAAGGCCUGUGUGCCGAAGUGAGGUGGUUUUGUCGAAUUUACUGAAAAAGGAUGGCAAUUAUGUGAACGCAGAAGGGAAGAUUAUAGUUG
Lycium ferocissimum is the source of this 1996-nucleotide long non-coding RNA. RefSeq lists it as uncharacterized. The record is from RefSeq and is a predicted model, not a curated record. Lineage: Eukaryota; Viridiplantae; Streptophyta; Magnoliopsida; Solanales; Solanaceae. The transcript has 7 exons.